Molecule: long non-coding RNA, 5680 nt
Filed under: Zostera marina
Lineage: Eukaryota; Viridiplantae; Streptophyta; Magnoliopsida; Alismatales; Zosteraceae
Description: long non-coding RNA (ZMAR_LNC001911)
Source: RNAcentral
UCUAAAUGACACAUUUUGCGGACGGUGCAUCCCACCGUCGAUUCCGCGCAAUUCUCUACACCGUUCGUUUUGUUUGACUACCUGCCCACGUUUGACGGGACGCAGCCAUACCGCUGCUCUGUAAUUCCCCUUCACCAGCCCAUACCCUCCACUAUUCCACCGUACAUCACUGACAUCGUCCGUCCGGCCGAGUUUCAUAUUCAUAUUAAAAAAACUCCAUGUCGUUCAAUUUUUCCCCCUUCACCUCCGACAAUCUUAAAAUCCGCCCGCGUUCCCCUAAAUAUUUCCCCAUUCAACAUACGCCUCUACUACCUUCACCUAAAAUCGCUGUCAAACCCAUAGUCGAAUCACUUCCGGCCGACGGCGAUUAGCAGGUCCCCACAUACUGUGCAUCUUCAAAUCACUCCGAGUUCCGUCAUAAUAUUUCGGUAUGUUUUUUACAUUUAACCUACCUUACUCGCAAUCUUUCAGUAAACUUAUAUGUUCUCGCAACUUACUAAAUCACCUUAGUGAAAAAAAAUCGCAAAUACUACUAUAUUCCAUUGAUCGAAUCACAAAUGAUUUGUGGGAUUUCCAAAAUCCCAAAUCCUAACUUCAUGAUUUUAAAAAUACGUAAACCUGCGGGGCAUCGAAUCCAGCAGUAAUCAAAAUCUCAAUAAUGUAUUCUUAAACUAACGGAAGAUCUCAUGAUGCACAUCUCCAAAGUUUAUGAACAAAUGAAUAUACACUGUUAAAAGAAAAUAAAAAAAUUAAAUCGAUUUUCCUUUUCGGAUUAUACUCUUGUUUUCGUAGAUUCCUAUUCUACAUGUCUUUCUGAAUUAUCUCCUUUUUUUUCUGAUUCCAAACCUUAUCUAUUGAUUUAAUCAAUUCUUGGACCAUAAAUGGUAUGGAUUUUAGUUGAUUCCACCCGUUUGGAAUUAUCAUUUCCUCUAGGAGUUGUAGAUUAUAUAGUUGAUCUUACUAAUAUUCAUCUAUUUUCAAUGGCCUAAUCUUUAGAAAUCUAGUACGAAAUUUAAAUCUGCGUAUCGAAAUUAAACUAGCUAUGUGGAACCCCUAUUUCCACCAUGAUAUCUGUUUGUUAUUUGUUUCUUUUUUGUUCGAAAUCUUUUUUUAAGUAUAAAACUACUUUUAUUCUAACGAUAUCUGUGUAGUACACCCUUUUACCUUGAUUAUAAUUUUUUUUUCAAAAUAAUAUUUUCCAAUCAUGAGUUAAAAUAUGAGAUUGUCGGAUAUGUUAGACAAAUCUAUCCUCGUCCAUGGCAAAAUUUAAGAACUUUUUGAUAAAAUGUGUGCUUCUAUUGAAUAAUAAAACGGACCAAGUCUAAAUACAUUGAUUAGGAAGAUAAGAGAAACCUAUGUAGAAGAAUAAUCAGGUAGGAAACCUUCUCAGAGUGAGAAUGCUAUAAAUCAGUGCAUCUGAGAGAAUACAUUAGUGGAAUUCAGGAGAAAAAACUCAGUCGCACUGGUUACACCAUUCUCACCAUGAGAAUAAAAGACAGAAUAGAAGAUGAAUCAAUCAGUUAUCUAAUUUUCAAUUGUGAGUCAUCUAGAUCUAUCCAACUGAAACUCACAAAAUAUACUUGAACCAAGAUAUCUGGAAAGUAACAAACACCCUCAACUCCAGUGUUGGGGUAAAAAUUGCCAUGGACUGCAAUCCCUAAUAACAGCAAAAUACUUUUUAUGUUUUUGCUGUUUUGUGAAAGAAAAUGGCCAUUUCAGAACCAUGUAGUUUGAACUGUGGUGGGCUGGUUUUUCAGUCUCAAACCAUUACAUUAAAUCUCUGAAAUCAUGUUAAAACAUGUAGUGCUUGUGUUUACAUUACUGAUUCAGACCACCAUUUAUUUGUUUGUUAGUAAGUAUAUAUUUAGCAAACUAAAUAAAUUCAUAGAGCUAGGUAAGUUGAUAUCCAUUUCUAAUUUAUGUUGGGUUAAUUAGGUUGAGAGGCAAAUGUAUCUAGGUUACAUUCUAAUUGGAGAAGAUCAACUGAAUUUCUGAAUAGCUUAAUAUUGAGAUAGUUGAUUUCAUUCGAAGAGUACAUUUGAUUAACAACGGUAAUGAAAACGAUUAAGUCCUAACAGUACUCAUUUUCAUUUCAGAACCUAGGCAAGUCAUCAUUUAGAGUGAGGAGGAAUAUUGAAAGAGUCCACCCAUUCCUUCCAUUGUUGAGGAUCAAUCUCGUAAGACUUCAAAGCUUCCUCGUAGUCCUCAACUGACGAGGGUUGUACGGGUAGAGGCGACAUCAAAGGCAUGUAGUUUGGAUGUCCCUCAUGGAUUGCUUGUAGACAAAACCAGCAUUGAUUCAGUUCGGGUAAAGCACUUCUCCUAUACGGGUUUUCUAGUCGAUAUUGGGAGAGUUGCACGGGCUCUUGAAGCGGAGGAGGGGGUGGAUAUGGGUAAUGGUCGAAGAACAUUGGCGAGCAAUGGCCAAAGAUGUCCGACCUCAUAACUGGUUCAUUCGAACGAGAUGAUUCUCCUUUCAUCAUUACUCCGUUCCUCUUCCAGAAUGGCCAGCACCCGCGCAAUCCAGAGGUCCUUGAGGGCGAUGACGUCGAUCUGGAUGUUCGACGUCCUGGAGUAAUAGGCCUGGGCUCCGAUGAAUCAGCAACAACCCCGUUCUCUGUCUCAUCGUCGCUGAUGACAAUGACUUCGUUGAGGUUACCCCUUCUUCUCCUUACACGGUUGUUUUCCGGAGCACCUCUCUUCCUAGAACUCAUUGCCUAACUAUGAACUAAAUGAAUUUUAUAUAUUAGUCAGUGUUGAAAUCGUUAAUUUUGUCAACUUGAAAUGAGGUGGUAAAAAUCGCUAAAAAAUCAGAUAAUAGUAUUAAAAAAAUUUGUAACAGGAAGACAAUCAUUAAAAAAAAAGAAUUUGCCACCUUCAAUUCACACAGGAAAACUCUCAAUUAAAAAACAGUAAUGGCUUGAAAAUGAGAUGAAGUAUCAAUAAUUUUAUGGACGAAAUCAAACAAUUUAUUGGCUACAGGACACAUACGAGUCCAUAGGAAUUAAACUCCGAGGACACACCCUGUUGAACACACAGAAACUAGUUUGCUUGGAAAAAAUACGCAACAAAAGAACUUCAUUAUCAAAUAUCAAAAUCAAUUAUUUAGUUACCAACGCUAUCACUAACAUAGCAUGAUUCAAUGAUUCUAAAUUUUUUAUCCUGCCAAAAAUCAAAAUCCAGAAUGUAGGGUUUUUCUUAAAGUAAGUUGUUAUUUCUUAAACCAUCACAAUCUUAGCUCCAAAAUAUCAGAAAUUCAAUCUACCAAAUACAAUGUCGAGAAGAUAAAUUUUUACACAUUGGCAACGAAAGACAAAACAGAACAAUCCUCAAUGGGUCCGUGCAAGUUAAUUUCAGUGGAGGAGUAGAAAAACAUUUUCAAAGCGUCUAUGAAAUCGUUCAAACCAGAUUUGGUUUGAGGUUUAUCGUCAUAGAUAAAUAAAACGAAGAGAACAAAACCCAACAGAAAUUUAGCUACGAAAAAGAAAACAAGAAAUCGAGAAAAUGAAAACAAGAAAUCGGCCAAUUUCAAUCUGAAAGUACCUUUCUGUGGAGUGUUGGAUACCAAUUUUACAGUGGAGAGGAUUGUUGGUACUAAGAAUGGAGACUCCCCCCCCUUUAAAUAGGCCAAUUGCAAAUGGCGCGAUGUAAUUUGGAAGUCGGUUACCCAUCUGUCCUCAGCCACUGUCCGCCUUGCCGGCCGGUCUCGAACAGUAUGGUGUGGCCAGUCUAAAUAUUUGGGGAAAUGGGGACGAUCGUGAUUUCCUUUGAGUGUAGUAGACAAAGAGUAACAUAUGGAGUGAAGAUGUUCGGCGCCGAUCGUGGGGUGUUCGAUUAGAUGGCCGUUCAGGAUUCGCAUUGCACGAACGACAUUCAGAUUUGGCGUGGGGUGUCUGGCAUGACCUCCCUCUGAAAUUUGUCAUCCUUCGUACUAUGACCUCCCCAUACCGUGAUCACUGUUGAACAUUGGACUGCAAAUGGAUACGAGUCGGAAUCGAAUAAGACAAACGGCAAUUCGAGAACGGCCGGUUGACGGAGUCUGGACCGACGGAUCUCCAUCCGUCUAUCGUCGAAAGACUGUCCGUUGGAGAUGGACGUCCAUCUGGGAACCACAGUGUAUAUAUAUAUAGAUUGAUGUGAUUGAUGGGUUUAUGUGAUUUAUGGGUUGAUUGUGUUUAAGGGUUAUAACUGUUUUUUUAUAUAUUGAUCACUUCAACAAAUCUGUUUUGAUGAUUUGUUAUUGGGUUUGUUUUAUUUUUCGUUAUUGGGUAUAAUCUGUUCUUAUUGGGUUUGUUUAUGGUUUUAAUCUUUUUUAAUUAAGGGUACCAUGAAGUUGAUGGGUUCUUAUUUAAUGAGCAUGGAUUAUGUAAGGGGAGUAAAAAGACAUAUCAAACAUUGUCUAAUCUUCCCGACAACGAAGAGUGGGUCAUCAUUAUUAAAAGAUGAAGACUGGGUAGUCGCGCCGGCGAUGAUCGUAUUGCUAUAUCAGGAUCGUCGGAGAUAUGACUAUUGGAGAAGAUUAACGAAAGGGGGAAGAACUUAGAUCACUUGCACUGUAGCAACGGUCGAGAAGUAACCGUUAGUGCGAGAGAGGUUUAGAGAGAGAUUAGAAUGAUUCAAUUGAAUUAAUGAAAUUGUUAAUUACAUUGUUUAUUUAAUACAAUUGAAUUAACAACUUCUAUAACUAAUUCUAUUAACAAUCUAAUUCCGGCCCACACGCAAUUGGCCCAUUAAAAGUUUAUUGAAACUAUUGCGCUUUGGCCCUUUAGUUUCUUUCCUGUCCAUUUCAUGAGUGACGGACAAAUUACCUGCAUAGUAGACUUAGUAUAAAAACUAGUUAGACAUUCAUAAACAUUUAUUUAUUUGAUUUAGGUCCAAUGUACAGAAUUUUCAGUAUUCUGCAUUCUGGUUAUAAUUAGCCUAAGCUAACUAGCUUUAACUAAUUCCUUUAAUCAUCUCGGGGCAGAGCCGUCCCGUUCGCGACCCGUUCUCACCCCUAGUCUUGUACCUUAUAAACUCUUUAUAAAUGUUAAACUGCAAAUACUUAAAACAUCAAAAUGAACAUUUUUAACACGUCAAUUUAUACUCCCGUUCACAAAGUGAGAAAAAAAAUGUUGUACCCCUUGAUUUUCUGGGGAUGAAAACAACCUUCAUUUUCAGCUUAUCAUGAGGUGAAAAAAAAAAUCUAAAUACAUCAAUUAUUGAUAUAUUCUCUCAAUCCAUAAAGUCACAAAAAAGAAAUCCAGAUUCUCCUUGUAUAUUGUCCAUCUUCAGGAAUCUAAUGAAAGAAAAUUCAAAGCAUGUACCACAUCGCCAAUCAAAGGUCGAACUGCAGCUUCCACUUGAAGACACAUCGAAAUUACAGCAAUGGCUUGAUUCAUGGACGCCACCGGAUAAUUAUCUUUUAGCAAUGGAUCCACUAGUUCAUUAUAUCGUGUUUUGUCCUUCAUCAUAGGUUGUGCCUGUUGGUGAAUAAUAUCGCAACAUUACAUAUAUUAUAUUAUCAUGAUAUUGGAAAUAAUCUCAUUAUACUCAAUGGGUUAGAAAGGAAGUGUUCAUUAGUUUCACUUUGAAUCAUUUAUAAAGCAAUUUUAUGUAUGAUGCAAUGUAACUUACCCAGGUGACAAGGGAUUGUUCAUUCAAGGGCAAUGAAGUAUCCAAAGCUCUUUUUCCUGAAAUA